This is a ribosomal RNA of 156 nucleotides. It matches the Rfam family "Bacterial large subunit ribosomal RNA", at positions 2767 to 2925 of the family's 2925-position model.
AACGCGUGAAGGCCACUAAGCGUGAAGCCCCCCUCAAGAUGAGAUAUCCCAUCGCAAGAGUAAGACCCCUUGAAGACGACGAGGUAGAUAGGGCAGAGGUGGAAGCAUGGUAACAUGUGGAGCUGACUGUCACUAAUAGGUCGAGGGCUUAACCAG